RNAcentral lists this ribosomal RNA (301 nucleotides) under uncultured bacterium. Its description in RNAcentral is "partial 16S ribosomal RNA". It matches the Rfam family "Bacterial small subunit ribosomal RNA", at positions 509 to 807 of the family's 1533-position model. The record is from RNAcentral.
CAGUAGCCGCGGGAAUACGAGGGGGGCAAGCGUUGUUCGGAAUUAUUGGGCGUAAAGGGCGCGUAGGCGGUUUGGCGAGUUUGGUGUGAAAUCUUCGGGCUCAACUCGAAGUCUGCAUCGAAAACUGCCGGGCUUGAGUAUGGGAGAGGUGAGUGGAAUUUCCGGUGUAGCGGUGAAAUGCGUAGAUAUCGGAAGGAACACCUGUGGCGAAAGCGGCUCACUGGACCAUUACUGACGCUGAGGCGCGAAAGCUAGGGGAGCAAACAGGAUUAGAUACCCGGGUAGUCCCUGUCUCUUAUAC